RNAcentral lists this ribosomal RNA (590 nucleotides) under Lambertella corni-maris. Its description in RNAcentral is "eukaryotic LSU rRNA". It matches the Rfam family "Eukaryotic large subunit ribosomal RNA", at positions 49 to 653 of the family's 3401-position model. Lineage: Eukaryota; Fungi; Ascomycota; Leotiomycetes; Helotiales; Rutstroemiaceae. The record is from RNAcentral.
AGCGGAGGAAAAGAAACCAACAGGGAUUGCCUCAGUAACGGCGAGUGAAGCGGCAAAAGCUCAAAUUUGAAAUCUGGCUCUUUCAGGGUCCGAGUUGUAAUUUGUAGAAGAUGUUUCGGGUGUGGUCCCAGUCUAAGUUCCCUGGAACUGGACAUCACAGAGGGUGAGAAUCCCGUAUGUGACUGGGUACCUACGUCCAUGUGAAACUCUUUCGACGAGUCGAGUUGUUUGGGAAUGCAGCUCAAAAUGGGUGGUAAAUUUCAUCUAAAGCUAAAUAUUGGCCAGAGACCGAUAGCGCACAAGUAGAGUGAUCGAAAGAUGAAAAGCACUUUGGAAAGAGAGUUAAACAGUACGUGAAAUUGUUGAAAGGGAAGGGCAUGCAAUCAGACUUGCGCCUAGUUGAUCAUCCGGGCUUUUGCCCGGUGCACUCGAUUAGGCUCAGGCCAGCAUCAGUUUAGAGGGUUGGAUAAAGGCCUUGGGAAUGUGGCCCCUCUCGGGGGGUGUUAUAGCCCAAGGUGCAAUGCAGCCACUCUGGACUGAGGACCGCGCUUCGGCUAGGAUGCUGGCGUAAUGGUUGUAUGCCGCCCGUC